RNAcentral lists this ribosomal RNA (454 nucleotides) under uncultured Prevotella sp. RNAcentral's name for it is "partial 16S ribosomal RNA". It matches the Rfam family "Bacterial small subunit ribosomal RNA", at positions 341 to 792 of the family's 1533-position model. The record is from RNAcentral. Lineage: Bacteria; Pseudomonadati; Bacteroidota; Bacteroidia; Bacteroidales; Prevotellaceae.
ACGGAAGGCAGCAGUGAGGAAUAUUGGUCAAUGGACGAGAGUCUGAACCAGCCAAGUAGCGUGCAGGAUGACGGCCCUAUGGGUUGUAAACUGCUUUUGUUGGGGAAUAAAAUGCGGGACGUGUCCCGCUUUGCAUGUACCCUUCGAAUAAGGACCGGCUAAUUCCGUGCCAGCAGCCGCGGUAAUACGGAAGGUCCGGGCGUUAUCCGGAUUUAUUGGGUUUAAAGGGAGCGUAGGCCGAACGUUAAGCGUGUUGUGAAAUGUAGUUGCUCAACAUCUGCACUGCAGCGCGAACUGGCGAUCUUGAGUGCGCGGGAAGUUGGCGGAAUUCGUUGUGUAGCGGUGAAAUGCUUAGAUAUGACGAAGAACUCCGAUUGCGAAGGCAGCUGACUGUAGCGUUACUGACGCUGAAGCUCGAAAGUGCGGGUAUCGAACAGGAUUAGAUACCCUGGUA